GACGUGGCUGUACUUUUCUCCCAGGAGGAGUGGGGGCUCCUCGAUGAGGCUCAGAAAUGCCUGGACCACCACGUGAUGCUGGAGACCUUGGCGCUUCUGUCCUCACUGGGUUGUUGGCAUGGAGACCAGCCUGAGGAGCCACCCUCAGCGCAAGGCGUUUCUAGGGAGUGUCACCAUCUGGAAGACCCAGCCCUGAUCGGCUGUUCCAUAUUUUAGAUUCCACAAGUAAGUGAUAUAUGCUAUUCGUCUUUUGCUUUCUG
This 260-nucleotide long non-coding RNA is filed under the name Sus scrofa (pig). Its description in RNAcentral is "lncRNA (ENSSSCG00060077029.1)". The record is from RNAcentral. Lineage: Eukaryota; Metazoa; Chordata; Mammalia; Artiodactyla; Suidae.